RNAcentral lists this ribosomal RNA (468 nucleotides) under uncultured bacterium. Its description in RNAcentral is "partial 16S ribosomal RNA". It matches the Rfam family "Bacterial small subunit ribosomal RNA", at positions 28 to 507 of the family's 1533-position model. The record is from RNAcentral.
GACGAACGCUGGCGGCGUGCUUAACACAUGCAAGUCGAACGGAAAGGCCCUGCUUUUGUGGGGUGCUCGAGUGGCGAACGGGUGAGUAACACGUGAGUAACCUGCCCUUGACUUUGGGAUAACUUCAGGAAACUGGGGCUAAUACCGGAUAGGAGCUCCUGCUGCAUGGUGGGGGUUGGAAAGUUUCGGCGGUUGGGGAUGGACUCGCGGCUUAUCAGCUUGUUGGUGGGGUAGUGGCUUACCAAGGCUUUGACGGGUAGCCGGCCUGGGAGGGUGACCGGCCACAUUGGGCCUGAGGUACGGCCCAGACUCCUACGGGAGGCAGCAGUGGGGAAUAUUGCACAAUGGGCGGAAGCCUGAUGCAGCAACGCCGCGUGCGGGAUGACGGCCUUCGGGUUGUAAACCGCUUUCGCCUGUGACGAAGCGUGAGUGACGGUAAUGGGUAAAGAAGCACCGGCUAACUACGUG